RNAcentral lists this transfer RNA (74 nucleotides) under Fukomys damarensis (Damara mole-rat). It matches the Rfam family "tRNA". Rfam says of the family: Transfer RNA (tRNA) molecules are approximately 80 nucleotides in length. Their secondary structure includes four short double-helical elements and three loops (D, anti-codon, and T loops). The record is from Rfam by way of RNAcentral. Lineage: Eukaryota; Metazoa; Chordata; Mammalia; Rodentia; Bathyergidae.
GUUAAGAUAGCAAAGAUCGGUAAUUGUAUAAAACUUAAAACUUUAUAUCAGAGGUUCAAAUCCUCUUCUUAAUA